RNAcentral lists this ribosomal RNA (406 nucleotides) under uncultured bacterium. RNAcentral describes it as "partial 16S ribosomal RNA". It matches the Rfam family "Bacterial small subunit ribosomal RNA", at positions 30 to 526 of the family's 1533-position model. The record is from RNAcentral.
AUUGAACGCUGGCGGCAGGCCUAACACAUGCAAGUCGAGCGAGCGGCGGACGUGUUAGUAAUGUAUCGGGAUCUGCCUGAUAGAUGGCGAUAACUACUGGACACGGUUGCUACUACCGUCUACUUUCGGCUGAGCCCAUAUGGGAGUAGCUAGUAGGUGGGGUAAAGGCUCACCUAGGCGACGAUCUCUACCUGGUCUGAGAGGAUGAUCAGCCACACUGGAACUGAGACACGGCCCAGACUCCUACGGGAGGCAGCAGUGGGGAAUAUGGCACAAUGGGCGAAAGCCUGAUGCAGCCAUGCCGCGUGUAUGAAGAAGGCCUUAGGGUUGUAAAGUACUUUCAGCGGGGAGGCGUUACCCGCAGAAGAAGCACCGGCUAACUCCGUGCCAGCAGCCGCGGUAAUUC